RNAcentral lists this ribosomal RNA (492 nucleotides) under uncultured bacterium. Its description in RNAcentral is "partial 16S ribosomal RNA". It matches the Rfam family "Bacterial small subunit ribosomal RNA", at positions 29 to 507 of the family's 1533-position model. The record is from RNAcentral.
AGUGAACGCUGGCGGUAGGCCUAACACAUGCAAGUCGAACGGCAGCACAGUAAGAGCUUGCUCUUACGGGUGGCGAGUGGCGGACGGGUGAGGAAUACAUCGGAAUCUACUUUUUCGGGGGGGAUAACGUAGGGAAACUUACGCUAAUACCGCAUACGACCUACGGGUGAAAGCAGGGGAACUUCGGACCUUGCGCGAUUGAAUGAGCCGAUGUCGGAUUAGCUAGUUGGCGGGGUAAAGGCCCACCAAGGCGACGAUCCGUAGCUGGUCUGAGAGGAUGAUCAGCCACACUGGAACUGAGACACGGUCCAGACUCCUACGGGAGGCAGCAGUGGGGAAUAUUGGACAAUGGGCGCAAGCCUGAUCCAGCCAUACCGCGUGGGUGAAGAAGGCCUUCAGGUUGUAAAGCCCUUUUGUUGGGAAAGAAAAGCAGCAGGUUAAUACCCCGCUGUUCUGACGGUACCCAAAGAAUAAGCACCGGCUAACUUCGUG